Molecule: ribosomal RNA, 207 nt
Filed under: Escherichia coli
Lineage: Bacteria; Pseudomonadati; Pseudomonadota; Gammaproteobacteria; Enterobacterales; Enterobacteriaceae
Description: partial 16S ribosomal RNA
Rfam family: Bacterial small subunit ribosomal RNA
Source: RNAcentral
AAAUUGAAGAGUUUGAUCAUGGCUCAGAUUGAACGCUGGCGGCAGGCCUAACACAUGCAAGUCGAACGGUAACAGGAAGCAGCUUGCUGCUUCGCUGACGAGUGGCGGACGGGUGAGUAAUGUCUGGGAAACUGCCUGAUGGAGAGGGAUAACUACUGGAAACGGUAGCUAAUACCGCAUAAUGUCGCAAGACCAAAGAGGGGGACC